GACGAACGCUGGCGGCGCGCCUAACACAUGCAAGUCGAACGAGCGAGAGAGAGCUUGCUUUCUCGAGCGAGUGGCGAACGGGUGAGUAACGCGUGAGGAACCUGCCUCAAAGAGGGGGACAACAGUUGGAAACGACUGCUAAUACCGCAUAAGCCCACGGCUCGGCAUCGAGCCGGGGGAAAAGGAGCAAUCCGCUUUGAGAUGGCCUCGCGUCCGAUUAGCUAGUUGGUGGGGUAACGGCCCACCAAGGCGACGAUCGGUAGCCGGACUGAGAGGUUGAACGGCCACAUUGGGACUGAGACACGGCCCAGACUCCUACGGGAGGCAGCAGUGGGGAAUAUUGCACAAUGGGGGAAACCCUGAUGCAGCGACGCCGCGUGGAGGAAGAAGGUCUUCGGAUUGUAAACUCCUGUUGUUGGGGAAGAUAAUGACGGUACCCAACAAGGAAGUGACGGCUAACUACGUG
Molecule: ribosomal RNA, 466 nt
Filed under: uncultured bacterium
Lineage: Bacteria
Description: partial 16S ribosomal RNA
Rfam family: Bacterial small subunit ribosomal RNA
Source: RNAcentral